This 504-nucleotide ribosomal RNA is filed under the name uncultured bacterium. RNAcentral describes it as "partial 16S ribosomal RNA". It matches the Rfam family "Bacterial small subunit ribosomal RNA", at positions 30 to 523 of the family's 1533-position model. The record is from RNAcentral.
AUUGAACGCUGGCGGCAGGCCUAACACAUGCAAGUCGAACGGUAGCACAGAGAGCUUGCUCUCGGGUGACGAGUGGCGGACGGGUGAGUAACGUCUGGGAAACUGCCCGAUGGAGGGGGAUAACUACUGGAAACGGUAGCUAAUACCGCAUAACGUCGCAAGACCAAAGUGGGGGACCUUCGGGCCUCACACCAUCGGAUGUGCCCAGAUGGGAUUAGCUAGUAGGUGGGGUAAUGGCUCACCUAGGCGACGAUCCCUAGCUGGUCUGAGAGGAUGACCAGCCACACUGGAACUGAGACACGGUCCAGACUCCUACGGGAGGCAGCAGUGGGGGAUAUUGCACAAUGGGCGCAAGCCUGAUGCAGCCAUGCCGCGUGUAUGAAGAAGGCCUUCGAGUUGUAAAGUACUUUCAGCGGGGAGGAAGGCGGUGGAGUUAAUAACUUCACCGAUUGACGUUACCCGCAGAAGAAGCACCGGCUAACUCCGUGCCAGCAGCCGCCGUAA